This 497-nucleotide ribosomal RNA is filed under the name uncultured bacterium. RNAcentral describes it as "partial 16S ribosomal RNA". It matches the Rfam family "Bacterial small subunit ribosomal RNA", at positions 28 to 507 of the family's 1533-position model. The record is from RNAcentral.
GAUGAACGCUGGCGGCGUGCCUAAUACAUGCAAGUCGAGCGAACAGACGAGGAGCUUGCUCCUCUGACGUUAGCGGCGGACGGGUGAGUAACACGUGGGUAACCUACCUAUAAGACUGGGAUAACUUCGGGAAACCGGAGCUAAUACCGGAUAAUAUAUUGAACCGCAUGAUUCAAUAGUGAAAGACGGUUUUGCUGUCACUUAUAGAUGGAUCCGCGCCGCAUUAGCUAGUUGGUAAGGUAACGGCUUACCAAGGCGACGAUGCGUAGCCGACCUGAGAGGGUGAUCGGCCACACUGGAACUGAGACACGGUCCAGACUCCUACGGGAGGCAGCAGUAGGGAAUCUUCCGCAAUGGGCGAAAGCCUGACGGAGCAACGCCGCGUGAGUGAUGAAGGUCUUCGGAUCGUAAAACUCUGUUAUUAGGGAAGAACAAAUGUGUAAGUAACUAUGCACGUCUUGACGGUACCUAAUCAGAAAGCCACGGCUAACUACGUG